AUUGAACGCUGGCGGCAGGCUUAACACAUGCAAGUCGAGCGGGGUGAUGGUGCUUGCACUAUCACUUAGCGGCGGACGGGUGAGUAAUGCUUAGGAAUCUGCCUAUUAGUGGGGGACAACAUCUCGAAAGGGAUGCUAAUACCGCAUACGUCCUACGGGAGAAAGCAGGGGAUCACUUGUGACCUUGCGCUAAUAGAUGAGCCUAAGGCGGAUUAGCUAGUUGGUGGGGUAAAGGCCUGCCAAGGCGACGAUCUGUAGCGGGUCUGAGAGGAUGAUCCGCCAAACUGGGGAUGAGAAACGGGCCAGACUCCUUCGGGAGGGAGCAGGGGGGAAUAUUGGAAAAUGGGGGGAACCCUGAUCCAGCCAUGCCGCGUGUGUGAAGAAGGCCUUAUGAUUGUAAAGCACUUUAAGCGAGGAGGAGGCUCUUUUGGUUAAUACCCAAGAUGAGUGGACGUUACUCGCAGAAUAAGCACCGGCUAACUCUGUGCCAGCAGCAGCCGCCG
Molecule: ribosomal RNA, 503 nt
Filed under: uncultured bacterium
Lineage: Bacteria
Description: partial 16S ribosomal RNA
Rfam family: Bacterial small subunit ribosomal RNA
Source: RNAcentral